GCCACACAGUUGGAAGGAGAUCCUGGCAGAAACGGAGCACAUAUGGCUGUCAAAAACAACCCAAAUGUUCCCUGCACAGAAUGGACCGGACAGUAAGAAUUCUGUAGUAGAAUGGCUGAUCUUCUGAUAAAGGAGGGGCCUUUGCAGUUAACCCCAGAGAAUGUAUCAACUGGCACUUGCUGUGCUAUUCACUGUGAGCUGCCUGCUUCUGUGCCCGGGAGGCAGCCUCACAGCCAUUUCAGACAUGAGGAUAUGCUAGAAGAACGCUGACGGUAAAAACAUAAUCUCUCGUUUUACUAUUUUUUUUUUUUUCAUUAGUAGUGUAGGACUGUGAUGAGACUGUGAUGGCUAGUACUCUAUUAGUGGGAGGCCUGAUAAUGAUUUUUUCCUAUGAUUCAGCAAACUGGACAAACAUAGGAAAAUGUGGUCAAUGGUUGAAGGUUAACACAAAAGUUGAUUCCAGAGCCAAUGUAACAAUUUUAGUCAGGUCCGGAGAUUUAUAGUAAACACUUAGUAGUUGCCAGGUCAGUGUGAGGAGGCAUUGUGUGCAUGUGUGGGGGGGGUUGUAUUUGGCUAGAGUUAAGAAUAACUGACUAUGCAAUGAACACAAGUCUGCUAAAAUGACCUUGGUGAGACAACUGCUUUCUAGUCCUCUCAUGAUGGUAUUGUAUUAACAAAACAAACACAACUGAUUUACAAAUAAAAGCAAAAAAAAAAAAAAAACCUAACUUGUUACCUUAUUUUUUGAAACCAGGUAAAAACAAUAAACAACAAUAACAGAAAAUAACUCUCCUUGGGGAAGCAUGAACUGUAGUGGAUAUUAUGGAAUCCAAGUAUCACAAGGGGAUCUAGCUCAUGUGGUGAAAUAAUACAGCUAAAAGAAAUGAAACAAGAAGGACAUUCAGAGAAUUUCAGGAUAUAUUAUUUUUGAUGGAGGCUCAGGAGUCUGAUCAGCUUGGAGCUGAACCUUCUCUCCGUCAGUACGGACACUCACCCUCACAGCAGCUGCUACUCUGGGCUAUGCUGCCUGGGCUCAACAGACAAGGUGAAGGCCAUACUGCACUUCACUCGGCUGAUACCCCCCAAGCCAGGAGUGGAAGCUGGUGUCCUGCUGUUGACCUAUGCUGUGUUUGCCCUUGGGCUAAUCAGAAUAUUUGUGUCUCUUGAGAUGUCCGGCUUGCAUCUUCCAAGACCAUUGUUUCAUUAGAAAUGUUCUACAGGAAAAGGCUGUCAGUUUUUCUUUCUACUGUGCUACAUGGCUAAAACGGCUAAAAAGGCUUCAACAAGACUUUUUAGUAAUCAGUUUGGUAAGAGUGAACCAUUUAGUACUAAGUAUUUAUAAAAUGAAAGUCUUUGCCCUUGGUGCUAAGAAACCUUUGAGUAACAAUCCCGUACCACUUUACCACUUUAGAAAAUAAGAUUUUAAAGCAAUACAAGGCCACUGCAAAAAAUGGUAGAAAAUGAAAUUUUACUUUGAAGUAAAAACUUUGAUAUCUGUACACAGUUGUUUCAUAAUGUACAUUUUCCAAGAAACUUUUGAAGCUCCUUCUCAUACAAU
Long non-coding RNA from Oryctolagus cuniculus (rabbit), 1558 nucleotides. The record is from Ensembl. NCBI's taxonomy places the organism in Eukaryota, Metazoa, Chordata, Mammalia, Lagomorpha, Leporidae.